Schistosoma haematobium is the source of this 45-nucleotide non-coding RNA. NCBI's taxonomy places the organism in Eukaryota, Metazoa, Platyhelminthes, Trematoda, Strigeidida, Schistosomatidae. The record is from Rfam.
AUCCAACUGCCGAGUCCCAAAUAGAACGAAACGCGUGUCCUGGAU